This 313-nucleotide unclassified non-coding RNA is filed under the name Hevea brasiliensis (rubber tree). Lineage: Eukaryota; Viridiplantae; Streptophyta; Magnoliopsida; Malpighiales; Euphorbiaceae. The record is from RNAcentral.
AAAGAAAGGCCAUGUUUGUUUAUUCACCAUGUUCUUAAUGACAAUGUUGUUUUCCUUAAGUGUUUAUGGAAUCUUGUAUUGUCAUGGUGUGUUGGCACAUUUGAUAAGUGGUGCCUUGAUGGGGUGUCUUUGGAUUCAGAGUGGGUGGAUUGGUCAUGAUUCAGGGCAUUAUCAGGUGAUGAGCACUCGCGGAUUCAACAGAUUUGCUCAAGUCCUUACUGGGAAUUGCCUUGCUGGAAUCAGCAUUGCUUGGUGGAAGUGGAACCACAAUGCUCACCACAUUGCCUGCAACAGUCUUGAAUAUGACCCUGAU